Molecule: unclassified non-coding RNA, 249 nt
Filed under: Hevea brasiliensis (rubber tree)
Lineage: Eukaryota; Viridiplantae; Streptophyta; Magnoliopsida; Malpighiales; Euphorbiaceae
Source: RNAcentral
GUAUCGCCUUCUUGUGGGACACAGUUGGCAUUUUUGUUACUGAAUGUUGGUUGCUUAUGGUUAGAGGACUUUUCGAUCGUUUUGAUUUUUUUGAAUAUUUUAUUAUACAUCAUGUAUAGAGUUUCAAUAGUUUUGAUCAUGAGAUCAGAAUUUAAGGUUGAUGCUGUGCAGGUCAUGCUUAACUGCAAGUACUUCUCUUUACUACUGGCACUGAAGGCUAAUCUUAUGCUUCUUUGGAUUUUGUUUGGU